This 253-nucleotide ribosomal RNA is filed under the name uncultured bacterium. Its description in RNAcentral is "partial 16S ribosomal RNA". It matches the Rfam family "Bacterial small subunit ribosomal RNA", at positions 524 to 776 of the family's 1533-position model. The record is from RNAcentral.
UACGGGGGGGGCAAGCGUUGUUCGGAAUUACCGGGCGUAAAGGGCUCGUAGGCGGCCAACUAAGUCAGACGUGAAAUCCCUCGGCUUAACCGGGGAACUGCAUCUGAUACUGGAUGGCUUGAGUUCGGGAGAGGGAUGCGGAAUUCCAGGUGUAGCGGUGAAAUGCGUAGAUAUCUGGAGGAACACCGGUGGCGAAGGCGGCAUCCUGGACCGACACUGACGCUGAGGAGCGAAAGCCAGGGGAGCAAACGGG